Molecule: ribosomal RNA, 919 nt
Filed under: Neohelicomyces submersus
Lineage: Eukaryota; Fungi; Ascomycota; Dothideomycetes; Tubeufiales; Tubeufiaceae
Description: eukaryotic LSU rRNA
Rfam family: Eukaryotic large subunit ribosomal RNA
Source: RNAcentral
GAGUGAAGCGGCAAAAGCUCAAAUUUGAAAUCUGGCUCUUUCAGAGUCCGAGUUGUAAUUUGUAGAGGAUGCUUCGGCUUACGUUUCGGUCUAAGUUCCUUGGAACAGGACGUCACAGAGGGUGAGAAUCCCGUUUGUGGCCGAGACUUCCGCCAUGUGAAGCUCCUUCGACGAGUCGAGUUGUUUGGGAAUGCAGCUCUAAAUGGGAGGUAAAUUUCUUCUAAAGCUAAAUACCGGCCAGAGACCGAUAGCGCACAAGUAGAGUGAUCGAAAGAUGAAAAGCACUUUGGAAAGAGAGUUAAAAAGUACGUGAAAUUGUUGAAAGGGAAGCGCUUGCGACCAGACUUGCCCGCGGAUGCUCAACCGGUCCUUCGGCCGGUGCACUCUUCCGCGGUCAGGCCAGCAUCAGUUCGAGCGGUCGGAUAAAGGCCUUGGGAAUGUGGCUCUCUUCGGGGAGUGUUAUAGCCCUUGGUGUAAUACGGCCUGCUUGGACUGAGGCCCGCGCUUCGGCUAGGAUGCUGGCGUAAUGGUCGUAAGCGGCCCGUCUUGAAACACGGACCAAGGAGUCUAACAUCUAUGCGAGUGUUUGGGUGUCAAACCCGUACGCGAAAUGAAAGUAAACGGAGGUGGGAAUCUUUGGAUGCACCAUCGACCGAUCCUGAUGUCUUCGGAUGGAUUUGAGUAAGAGCAUAGCUGUUGGGACCCGAAAGAUGGUGAACUAUGCCUGAAUAGGGUGAAGCCAGAGGAAACUCUGGUGGAGGCUCGCAGCGGUUCUGACGUGCAAAUCGAUCGUCAAAUUUGGGUAUAGGGGCGAAAGACUAAUCGAACCAUCUAGUAGCUGGUUCCUGCCGAAGUUCCCUCAGGAUAGCAGUAACGUUUUCAGUUUAUGAGGUAAGCGAAUGAUUAGAGGCCUUGGGGU